RNAcentral lists this unclassified non-coding RNA (321 nucleotides) under uncultured fungus. Its description in RNAcentral is "partial contains small subunit ribosomal RNA, internal transcribed spacer 1, and 5.8S ribosomal RNA". The stretch from base 1 to 73 matches the Rfam family "Eukaryotic small subunit ribosomal RNA", at positions 1759 to 1831 of the family's 1831-position model. Lineage: Eukaryota; Fungi. The record is from RNAcentral.
GCAAACUUGGUCAUUUAGAGGAAGUAAAAGUCGUAACAAGGUCUCCGUUGGUGAACCAGCGGAGGGAUCAUUACCGAGUUUACAACUCCCAAACCCCAAUGUGAACCUCUACCUAAUCGUUGCCUCGGCGGGAUCGCCCCGCGGCGCCCCCUCCAGGGCGUCCGGAUCACACGGCGCCCGCCGCAGGACCCCCCAAACUCUCUUGCAUCUCCGGCGUCGUUUUCUUCUGAGUGGACCUUUUUCCUCGCGAGAGCGGGGUGAAAAUGAAUCAAAACUUUCAACAACGGAUCUCUUGGCUCUGGCAUCGAUGAAGAACGCAGC